AAAUAUUUUAAAGAAAUGUAUUGAGUGGCUUCUGUGUACCAGGUACUGACUAGGUGCUUAGAAAAACACAAGUGAAUAAAUGAGACUCCCUGCCCUCAUGGACUGGGUGGGAGGAGGAAGGGGACAGAUCAUUUGGGAGUAAACAAAUAAAUGAGAUAGUUUCUGCUAUGACACGUGCUCCAAAAAUAAAUAAAUUAAAAAUAAACACAGCAAUAGAUUGGUGACUUGAGGGGAACCCCUUUAGCCAGGGCAAUCCUGGAGGGCCUCUGAGGAAGGCACCUUGGCGUGAAGACCUGCAUGCCCAGAAUGUAAGAUCUGCCUGUCUCCCUGACCUGCGUAGCAGCUCCGUGAGGGCAGGGCCCAGUCACCCCGGGGAACUGACGUAGGACAGGAUUCCAUAAACUCUGGAGACAUGACUAAAGAAAUGGGUGAACGGCCUUUGGAAAUGAAUCAAGUGUUCAAGUCCCCGCCCACUUUGCUUCCGAUCCUCCCAUAACAGACUCAGCUGAUGCUUCAUGAUGGUUUCCUGGGUGUGCUGAUGGGAGCAGGGAGGAGUCCGUGCCAGGGACUGUGCACCAGUCGUCUGCGGGGGCAGCGGCCGUGUGGUCACCGCUCUGUUCCCAGCCCAGCACCCGGCCUGCCAGCCAAUAAACGCUCAACAAACUGGUGUGCGAAUGGGGACACAAGAACCGCCUGUGCUGGAUGGAGAAUUUCUGUGGCUCACAGGGUCGGCUUACGUUUCCGCUCCAAACGCCAGGCUAAGUGGAGGUGCAAGAACAUUUGCUGACUUUGCCUGGACUCAGUAUCAUCGCCCCACACCUCCCCAGUCCCACUCCUGGCACAGGAAUAUUUACACGGAGACAGUUCCCGAGAGGGGAAAUGAACCCUUCUUCCCACGUUUUUCAAGCAAAAUCCCAAAGCCGUUUCGGGAGUGCGGUCUGGAGGAUGGAGCUGGCCUUGGGUUAUGGGCGUUGGGUGAGGGCUGAGCAUGGAGACGCGGUGAGCUUGCGACUGCAGCUUUUGGUGGGUGAAGGGAUGCCGUUGGAUUUCACAAGCAAACGGAACCAUUUCCCCUACACGUCAGCGGGCUUCUUUGUGGGGAUGUAACACAGCGGUGAGGAGAGUUCCUCUGGCCUUAGAGGCUGGGGCGGAGACAGGGUGACGUCUCUUGGGUUCCAGUGGCCCCAGGAAGGCCAGCUGGUACCAGGUGACUCAGAGCCAGCCCGGCUCCUGCUAUACAGGACCAGCUGGUGUUGGGUGGGCCCAGACAUGGGACACAGUGGGAGGAGGGAAGGAGGAAGAGGUGCAGUGAUGCUUCAAGGAACUUCCGAGGGGGGUGGGCCCUGUGAUGCUCCCAUUGGCUCUGGGGUGUGUGAGGGGGUAGGAUGGGGGACUGCCCUGCAUUUUUCUCCCCAGGACACAGAGCCACACACGUUGUCCCCAGGAGCUGUUUGCAGAUCAUGAUGUUAUCGGAGGACUACGUGGGUGGGAUUCGUCCACUGCUGGUGGGGCUGUGGUACUUGCGACGUCUUCAGAAAAAGAGCCUGCUAAGGCUGGCUCAGGAUAAGGAGUGAUAUUUACCUGUGGAAAUGACAUGCCUCCGUUUCCAAAGUCCCACAUCCCUUAAACGGGUCCUGGAGAAUGUCCAGCGAGGACUUCAGUAGAGCUAGAAGAUAGAAAACGUAAAAAUGAGUCACUGGCAUUCCCUCGGCUGGCAAACGUAUUUUAUGAUGUCUUAGCAAACUUCCUGACAUUUUUUGGAAAAAUAUUUUCAUGGAUUUCAGAGCAGAAGGGAGGGAAACAUCAAUGAUGAGAGCGAAUCAUUGAUCCACUGCCUCCUGCACGCCUUGCACUGAGGAUGGAGCCCGCAACCCCGGGCACGUGCCCUGACCGGGAAUUUGAACCGUGACCUCCUGGUUGAUAGGUCGAUGCUCAACCACUGAGCCAUGCUGGCCGGGCUUAAGAGAGUUAUUUUAAUGGAGACAGGCAUUCAGUAAAAUUUACAGAUUCAGUAAACCACAGGUGACUGGAGUUAAGCUGAUCGGCUUAGAAUUUUCAACGGAAAAUAUUCAAGGACACCCGUAGUUGGGCUUCUGUGAGGACCCAGUUGUGACAUCUAUGAAGACACCCUGACAUGACAGCUGAAUGCCCUGGAACAGAGCCGCCUUCCCAGGCUGCGAAUGGGCCUUGAGCCCCUGGCCCCCAGUACCUUGCUCUCCUGUGCC
This is a long non-coding RNA of Myotis myotis, 2225 nucleotides long. RefSeq lists it as uncharacterized. The record is from RefSeq and is a predicted model, not a curated record. The transcript has 3 exons. Lineage: Eukaryota; Metazoa; Chordata; Mammalia; Chiroptera; Vespertilionidae.